This 2493-nucleotide small RNA is filed under the name Pongo abelii (Sumatran orangutan). Its description in RNAcentral is "retained intron". Lineage: Eukaryota; Metazoa; Chordata; Mammalia; Primates; Hominidae. The record is from RNAcentral.
AGAACCCGCAGCGCCGGCCCGACAGGGCAGCUCGGAGGUGGGUGGGCCGCGCCGCCAUCCCGCUUGCAGGGUCCCCAUUGGCCGCCUGCCGGCCGCCCUCCGCCCAAAAGGCGGCAAGGAGCCGAGAGGCUGCUCCGGCGUCGGAGCAGGACAGCCUGGCCGAGCCAACGCCGGGGACUUUGUUCCCUCCGCGGAGGGGACUCGGCAACUCGCAGCGGCAGGGUCUGGGGCCGGCGCCUGGGAGGGAUCUGCGCCCUUCACUCCCUCCCUAGCUGUGUUCCCGCCGCCGCCGCCCGGCUAGUCUCCGGCGCUGGCGCCUAUGAUCGGCCUCCGACAGCGCUCCAGAGGGACCGGGGGAGCUCCCAGGCGCCCGGGACUGGAGACUGAUGCAUGAGGGGGCCACGGAGGCGCAGGAGCGGUGGUGAUGGUCUGGGAAGCGGAGCUGAAGUGCCCUGGGCUUUGGUGAGGCGUGACAGUUUAUCAUGACCGUGUUCAGGCAGGAAAACGUGGAUGAUUACUACGACACCGGCGAGGAACUUGGCAGUGGACAGUUUGCGGUUGUGAAGAAAUGUCGUGAGAAAAGCACCGGCCUCCAGUAUGCUGCCAAAUUCAUCAAGAAAAGGAGGACUAAGUCCAGCCGGCGGGGUGUGAGCCGUGAGGACAUCGAGCGGGAAGUCAGCAUCCUGAAGGAGAUCCAGCACCCCAAUGUCAUCACCCUGCACGAGGUCUAUGAGAACAAGACGGACGUCAUUCUGAUCUUGGAACUCGUUGCAGGUGGCGAGCUGUUUGACUUCUUAGCUGAAAAGGAAUCUUUAACUGAAGAGGAAGCAACUGAAUUUCUCAAACAAAUUCUUAACGGUGUUUACUACCUGCACUCCCUUCAAAUCGCCCACUUUGAUCUUAAGCCUGAGAACAUAAUGCUUUUGGAUAGAAAUGUCCCCAAACCUCGGAUCAAGAUCAUUGACUUUGGGUUGGCCCAUAAAAUUGACUUUGGAAAUGAAUUUAAAAACAUAUUUGGGACUCCAGAGUUUGUCGCUCCUGAGAUAGUCAACUAUGAACCUCUUGGUCUUGAGGCAGAUAUGUGGAGUAUCGGAGUAAUAACCUAUAUCCUCCUAAGUGGGGCCUCCCCGUUUCUUGGAGACACUAAGCAAGAAACGUUAGCAAAUGUAUCCGCUGUCAACUAUGAAUUUGAGGAUGAAUACUUCAGUAAUACCAGUGCCCUAGCCAAAGAUUUCAUAAGAAGACUUCUGGUCAAGGAUCCAAAGAAGAGAAUGACAAUUCAAGAUAGUUUGCAGCAUCCCUGGAUCAAGCCUAAAGAUACACAACAGGCACUUAGUAGAAAAGCAUCAGCAGUAAACAUGGAGAAAUUCAAGAAGUUUGCAGCCCGGAAAAAAUGGAAACAAUCCGUUCGCUUGAUAUCACUGUGCCAAAGAUUAUCCAGGUCGUUCCUGUCCAGAAGUAACAUGAGUGUUGCCAGAAGCGAUGAUACUCUGGAUGAGGAAGACUCCUUUGUGAUGAAAGCCAUCAUCCAUGCCAUCAACGAUGACAACGUCCCAGGCCUGCAGCACCUUCUGGGCUCAUUGUCCAACUAUGAUGUUAACCAACCCAACAAGCACGGGACACCUCCAUUACUCAUUGCUGCUGGCUGUGGGAAUAUUCAAAUACUACAGUUGCUCAUUAAAAGAGGCUCAAGAAUCGAUGUCCAGGAUAAGGGCGGGUCCAAUGCCAUCUACUGGGCUGCUCGGCAUGGCCACGUCGAUACCUUGAAAUUUCUCAAUGAGAACAAAUGCCCUUUGGAUGUGAAAGACAAGUCUGGAGAGACGGCCCUCCAUGUGGCAGCUCGCUAUGGCCAUGCUGAUGUGGCUCAGCUACUGUGCAGCUUCGGCUCCAAUCCCGACAUCCAGGACAAGGAAGAAGAAACCCCCCUGCACUGUGCUGCCUGGCACAGGUAUUACUCUGUGGCCAAAGCCCUUUGUGAAGCCGGCUGUAACGUGAACAUCAAGAACCGAGAAGGAGAGACGCCCCUCCUGACAGCCUCUGCCAGGGGCUACCACGACAUCGUGGAGUGUCUGGCCGAACAUGGAGCCGACCUUAAUGCUUGCGACAAGGUGCCUUAUGGGGGAAGACUCAUAUGCACUGGGAAGUGAUCUAGGGGGACCACAAGACUCCUCAGUUUGUUUCCCUAAGAUAACAAACUUGAAUGCAGCAAACUGUAAUUACCCCGUCUCUUCUCUGUUCCAAAGAUUCUGUGAACUUUUCUAUAUUGUAUUUAAUAAUUAAUAUUAAUUUAUGGCAUAUAACAAAAUUCAUGAAUUGAUCAAUUGACUUUGGUCUUUAAAUAAUUUUUAGCUUUUUUAGCUUUAGAGCAGGUACAGUGAUGUUCACUGAAUCCGAGACAAUUCUCAUUGAGGACUAACAUUGGCAACACACUAUUAAUUUUUAGAUAAACAAAGAAAUAGAUGUUUUACUUAUUUCUGUCAUCUGCUGUGUUGU